Long non-coding RNA from Suricata suricatta (meerkat), 551 nucleotides. RefSeq lists it as uncharacterized. The record is from RefSeq and is a predicted model, not a curated record. Lineage: Eukaryota; Metazoa; Chordata; Mammalia; Carnivora; Herpestidae. The transcript has 3 exons.
UGCUGUUGGAAUGGUACCUAGGUGUCGAGAUGAUAUCUCUAACACGGUGGAUUUACACAGCACCAUGCUUCACAGAAGCCUAAUUGUGUUGUUGUUUUAAAGACAAGCUGGUGCCAAAGACCUGGCUUUCUGCAGAGGAUGCCAGAUGGUUACCUUGGAAAAUCGCUUCUCAGAAACAGAGUUUAUUGGCUUCUGUUGGCCUUUUACUUUACCAUAAGAUUUCAGAAUCAGCUUGUCCAGAUCCUCAAAAAUUCAUGGUGACAAGUUCUUGCUUCCCCAGUGAGAAGCCCUAUGUCUGUGAAAGCCACACAUCCAUUGUUCUGCCGUGUAUGUUUCUGAGGACAAGAAGUGAUUAUCUCCAAGCCUGGGGCUUCAGGAACAGCAAUAUCAGACUACACAAAUGGACCCAAUAUUAACUGAAGACUGAAUGGAAGCAGGAGAAAGGCUGAAGUAGCAAUACUUAAUGUCAGAUGAAAUAGACUUGAAAAUAAAGACUGUAACAAAAGACAAAGGUGUUACUGUACAUAAUGAUCAAGAGGUCAAUACUUCAA